RNAcentral lists this long non-coding RNA (1006 nucleotides) under Nicotiana tabacum (common tobacco). Its description in RNAcentral is "long non-coding RNA (NTAB_LNC018676)". Lineage: Eukaryota; Viridiplantae; Streptophyta; Magnoliopsida; Solanales; Solanaceae. The record is from RNAcentral.
GGAAAUGGCAUUGAUGCCAGAACUGCAUGCCACAAGGGACAUUAUCAAACUGGGGCAGAAAAUUUUCCUUCCAUUUAGAAAAUUUUCUGGAAGUCAGGUACCCCCAGCUUAUAACAUUUUACCCCCAACAGGUAAGUAAAUAAUUCCUCAACAGUGUUGUCCCUAGCAGUUGCAAGGGGUCCAACACAAGGUUGGAAAGUCGGUAUCCUCAGCGAUUAGAUUUCAAAGGAGGAGGCUAUUAAUAAUAAUAAUAAUAAAUAAAUAAAUAAAUAAGAAAAAAGGAUAAUAAUGAAAAAAAAGGGGAAAAUUCAUCCCAAUCCCCAGCAAGUAUUCGAGGUAAGACAUUUCAAGUCUUAAGGAUAUGUUGGGUUAAUCCGCCCUCAAAUAGGAUCUGUUGGGUUAAUCCGCCCUCAAAUAGGAUCUGUCGGGUUAAUCCGCCCUCAAAUAGGAUCUGUUGGGUUAAUCCACCCUCAAAUAGGAUCUGUUGGGUUCAUCCGCCCUCAAAUAGGAUAUGUUGGGUUCAUCCGCCCUCAAAUAGGAUAUGUCGGGUUCAUCCGCCCUCAAAUAGGAUAUUUUGGGUUCAUCCGCCCUCAAAUAGGAUAUGUUGGUUUCAGUCUUUAUUUUCAAGUGUUGAAGUUGGGAGCCCGCCCCGAUAACAGAGGCAUAAAUUCAGUCUUUAUUUUCAAGUGUUGAAGUUGGGAGCCCGCCCAGAUAACAGAGGCAUAAAUUCAGUCUUUACUUUUCAAGUGUUGAAAUUGGGAGCCCGCCCAGAUAAUAGAGGCAUAAAUUCAGUCUUUACUUUUCAAGUGUUGAAAUUGGGAGCCCGCCCAGAUAAUAGAGGCAUACAUUCAGUCUUUACUUUUAAGUGUUGAAGUUGGGAGCCCGCCCAGAUAACAGAGGCAUACAUUCAAUUUUUACGUUUCAAGUAUUGAAGUUGGGAGCCCGCCCAGAUAACAGAGGCAUACAUUCCACGUCUUUACCCAUAGGAGAUGCAUUUCCUCCUAAG